GUUUGAGUAGCUUAAUGAUAAAUAGCAUUGCUUUGAAGCAGCAAAGGUGGGUGGUCUUCCCCUCAAACA
This 69-nucleotide transfer RNA is filed under the name Tridacna noae. Its description in RNAcentral is "tRNA-Phe". It matches the Rfam family "tRNA". From Rfam's summary of the family: Transfer RNA (tRNA) molecules are approximately 80 nucleotides in length. Their secondary structure includes four short double-helical elements and three loops (D, anti-codon, and T loops). Further hydrogen bonds mediate the characteristic L-shaped molecular structure. tRNAs have two regions of fundamental functional importance: the anti-codon, which is responsible for specific mRNA codon recognition, and the 3' end, to which the tRNAs corresponding amino acid is attached (by aminoacyl-tRNA synthetases). tRNAs cope with the degeneracy of the genetic code in two manners: having more than one tRNA (with a specific anti-codon) for a particular amino acid; and 'wobble' base-pairing, i.e. permitting non-standard base-pairing at the 3rd anti-codon position. Lineage: Eukaryota; Metazoa; Mollusca; Bivalvia; Cardiida; Cardiidae. The record is from RNAcentral.